Molecule: ribosomal RNA, 465 nt
Filed under: uncultured bacterium
Lineage: Bacteria
Description: bacterial SSU rRNA
Rfam family: Bacterial small subunit ribosomal RNA
Source: RNAcentral
UGCCAGACUCCUACGGGAGGCAGCAGUGGGGAAUAUUGCACAAUGGGGGAAACCCUGAUACAGCGACGCCGCGUGAGUGAAGAAGUAUUUCGGUAUGUAAAGCUCUAUCAGCAGGGAAGAAAUAGCGACCUUUGGGUCGCCAGACGGUACCUGACUAAGAAGCCCCGGCUAACUACGUGCCAGCAGCCGCGGUAAUACGUAGGGGGCAAGCGUUAUCCGGAUUUACUGGGUGUAAAGGGAGCGUAGACGGCGAUGCAAGUCAGAAGUGAAAGCCCGCGGCUCAACUGCGGGACUGCUUUUGAAACUGUAUAGCUUGAGUGCAGGAGAGGUAAGCGGAAUUCCUAGUGUAGCGGUGAAAUGCGUAGAUAUUAGGAGGAACACCAGUGGCGAAGGCGGCUUACUGGACUGUAACUGACGUUGAGGCUCGAAAGCGUGGGGAGCAAACAGGAUUAGAUACCCUGGUAA